GUGAAUCAUCAAAUUUUUGAACGCAAAUUGCACCCUCUUCGGAGAGUAUGCCUGUUUGAGGGUCAGCCUAAAAAAAAAUCGACAUAGUCGCUUUUUCGCGGUGAUUUUCGUCGGAAAUUGGGUCAUUUUAAAUUUUUGGGCUUUAAGCGGCUUAAAUUUUUUUUUACGAUUACACGAAUUUCUCU
Molecule: unclassified non-coding RNA, 185 nt
Filed under: Glomus sp.
Lineage: Eukaryota; Fungi; Glomeromycota; Glomeromycetes; Glomerales; Glomeraceae
Description: partial contains 5.8S ribosomal RNA and internal transcribed spacer 2
Rfam family: 5.8S ribosomal RNA (bases 1-65)
Source: RNAcentral